GAUGAACGCUGGCGGCGUGCCUAAUACAUGCAAGUCGAGCGAACAGACGAGGAGCUUGCUCCUCUGACGUUAGCGGCGGACGGGUGAGUAACACGUGGAUAACCUACCUAUAAGACUGGGAUAACUUCGGGAAACCGGAGCUAAUACCGGAUAAUAUAUUGAACCGCAUGGUUCAAUAGUGAAAGACGGUUUUGCUGUCACUUAUAGAUGGAUCCGCGCCGCAUUAGCUAGUUGGUAAGGUAACGGCUUACCAAGGCAACGAUGCGUAGCCGACCUGAGAGGGUGAUCGGCCACACUGGAACUGAGACACGGUCCAGACUCCUACGGGAGGCAGCAGUAGGGAAUCUUCCGCAAUGGGCGAAAGCCUGACGGAGCAACGCCGCGUGAAUGAUGAAGGUCUUCGGAUCGUAAAACUCUGCUAUUAGGGAAGAACAAAUGUGUAAGUAACUAUGCACGUCUUGACGGUACCUAAUCAGAAAGCCACGGCUAACUACGU
RNAcentral lists this ribosomal RNA (496 nucleotides) under uncultured bacterium. RNAcentral describes it as "partial 16S ribosomal RNA". It matches the Rfam family "Bacterial small subunit ribosomal RNA", at positions 28 to 506 of the family's 1533-position model. The record is from RNAcentral.